Long non-coding RNA from Pogoniulus pusillus (Red-fronted tinkerbird), 282 nucleotides. RefSeq lists it as uncharacterized. NCBI's taxonomy places the organism in Eukaryota, Metazoa, Chordata, Aves, Piciformes, Lybiidae. The record is from RefSeq and is a predicted model, not a curated record. The transcript is spliced from 2 exons.
UUUGCCCUCCCUGCCCACUGCCCUAUUUAAGCAGCCCCAGGACAGGCAGCAGCCCCAAGCUUGCCCAACUGGGCAGAGGAUCCUCCUCCUGUCACCACAGCCUGGAGAAGCUGGAGGCAAAUCCUGAGUGCGGGAGGGAAGCACCGGAGUGAAACUGAAGCUGGGUUCCAGGCAAAGAGAGGAUGGAAAGGCAGGCACUGAGGAAGAGCUGGGAUAGAAGAUCAAAAGGUAGUCCCUGAGGAGCAGCUGGGAUUGAAUUGGCAAUAAAAGCAAUGCCACCUA